UACGUAGGGAGCAAGCGUUGUCCGGAAUUAUUGGGCGUAAAGAGCGUGUAGGCGGUCCGGUAAGUCGGCUGUGAAAGUCCAGGGCUCAACCCUGGGAUGCCGGUCGAUACUGCCGGACUAGAGUUCGGAAGAGGCGAGUGGAAUUCCCGGUGUAGCGGUGAAAUGCGCAGAUAUCGGGAGGAACACCUAUGGCGAAGGCAGCUCGCUGGGACGUUACUGACGCUGAGACGCGAAAGCGUGGGGAGCAAACAGG
Molecule: ribosomal RNA, 253 nt
Filed under: uncultured bacterium
Lineage: Bacteria
Description: partial 16S ribosomal RNA
Rfam family: Bacterial small subunit ribosomal RNA
Source: RNAcentral